Acanthosepion pharaonis is the source of this 109-nucleotide non-coding RNA. The record is from the annotation of a GenBank genome assembly. Lineage: Eukaryota; Metazoa; Mollusca; Cephalopoda; Sepiida; Sepiidae.
ACGGCUAUACACUUUGAAACACUGAUUCUUGUACGAUCACCGAAGUUAAGCUACGUCGAAACUGGUCAGUAACUAGAUGGGUGACCGCUUGGGAAUACCAGAUGCUGUG